Molecule: long non-coding RNA, 543 nt
Organism: Lagenorhynchus albirostris (white-beaked dolphin)
Lineage: Eukaryota; Metazoa; Chordata; Mammalia; Artiodactyla; Delphinidae
Exons: 3
Source: RefSeq, a predicted model, not a curated record
GGAUCUCAGUUCCCCCAACCAGUGAUCGAACCUGUGCCCCCUGCAGUGGAAGCGCAGAGUCCUAACCACUGGACCACCAGGGAAUUCCCAUUUUUGGUAUUUUUUUAAAGACGUCACAGUGUCGAUCUUUGUGGUGAAGAGCUUCAGAGGACUCCUGAGCCUGCCCUUGACCAGGGCAGGGCCAAGCUUGACCAAUGGAGCCUCUGAUCUCAGGAGCAGCUUCUCAAAGGCAAGAAAACAAGUUUGCAGAGAAUAUAUUGCUUUGAGCAAGACACUAAGAGGGAGUAAGAUGAAACCCAUCAUUCGGUGGAGUGAGUCGAAGAGCCCAGCCCAGAAGCUGCUCUAUCUCUGAAAGGUCCCUAUUAACCCAAUGGCUCUAAAACUAAAGUGAAUUUAUCAGUAUCCCCGCCAAAUGUGAAAGUCCCCCAAAUAAGGCUUCCUGAUUCCAUUUGACCAUUUCUGUUGAGAAAUAGGUUCAUUUUAAAUCCGGAGCUCUUGGUAUCUGAGAUCACAGGUCCAGACCCCUCAAGAGGGCAAUAAUAU